RNAcentral lists this ribosomal RNA (407 nucleotides) under Verrucomicrobiota bacterium. RNAcentral describes it as "Verrucomicrobia bacterium partial 16S ribosomal RNA". It matches the Rfam family "Bacterial small subunit ribosomal RNA", at positions 355 to 776 of the family's 1533-position model. Lineage: Bacteria; Pseudomonadati; Verrucomicrobiota. The record is from RNAcentral.
UGGGGAAUAUUGGACAAUGGAGGAAACUCUGAUCCAGCAAUUCUGUGUGUGUGAAGAAGGUUUUGGGACUGUAAAACACUUUUAGUAGGGAAGAAAAAAAUGACGGUACCUACAGAAGAAGCAACGGCUAAAUACGUGCCAGCAGCCGCGGUAAUACGUAUGUUGCGAGCGUUAUCCGGAAUUAUUGGGCUUAAAGGGCAUCUAGGCGGUAAGACAAGUUGAAGGUGAAAACCUGUGGCUCAACCAUAGGCUUGCCUACAAAACUGUUGAACUAGAGUACUGGAAAGGUGGGUGGAACUACACGAGUAGAGGUGAAAUUCGUAGAUAUGUGUAGGAAUGCCGAUGAUGAAGAUAACUCACUGGACAGAAACUGACGCUGAAGUGCGAAAGCUAGGGGAGCAAACAGG